GGGGUAUACUUGACACAAACACCAGGGGGUAUACUUGACACAAACACCAGGGGUAUACUUGACACAAACACCAGGGGUAUACUUGACACAAACACCAGUGGUUUACUUGAAACAAACAGCAGGGGUAUGCUUGAUACAAACACCAGUGCUAUACUUGAUACAAA
This is a long non-coding RNA of Haliotis rubra (blacklip abalone), 164 nucleotides long. RefSeq lists it as uncharacterized. The record is from RefSeq and is a predicted model, not a curated record. The transcript has 3 exons. NCBI's taxonomy places the organism in Eukaryota, Metazoa, Mollusca, Gastropoda, Lepetellida, Haliotidae.